This 359-nucleotide unclassified non-coding RNA is filed under the name soil metagenome. RNAcentral's name for it is "partial contains 5.8S ribosomal RNA, internal transcribed spacer 2, and large subunit ribosomal RNA". The stretch from base 1 to 120 matches the Rfam family "5.8S ribosomal RNA", at positions 35 to 154 of the family's 154-position model. The record is from RNAcentral.
GAUGAAGAACGUAGCGAAACGCGAUAGUUAAUGUGAAUUGCAGAAUUCAGUGAAUCAUCGAGUCUUUGAACGCCCAUUGCGCCCCCUGGUAUUCCGGGGGGCAUGCCUGUCCGAGCGUCAUUGCUGCCCAUCAAGCGCGGCUUGUCUGUUGGGCCGCCGUCCGCCUUCCCCCCCGGGGGGAGGGGGACGGGCCCGAAAGGCAGCGGCGGCACCGCGUCCGGUCCUCGAGCGUAUGGGGCUCUGUCACCCGAUCUGGAGGCCCGGCCGGCGCCCGCCGACCCCCAACCUUCUUCUAACCAGGUUGACCUCGGAUCAGGUAGGGAUACCCGCUGAACUUAAGCAUAUCAAUAAGCGGAGGA